AAAUAAUUUAACGGCCGCAGUAAUUUGACUGUGCUAAGGUAGCAUAAUAGUUUGUCUCUUAAUUAGAGUCUAGAAUGAAAGAUCAAAUAAACUCUAGCUUUCCUCCUUUUACAAAUUUAAUUUUAUUAUUGAGUUAAAAAGCUCAAAUAUAUAAAAAAGACGAUAAGACCCUAUGAAAUUUCAUUUAUAUAAAGUUAUAUUUAUGAUUUAUACAAAAUAAAUGUAAAUUGAAAAUAAUUUAGUUGGGGCGACUUUAAUUUAAAUAUAAGCAAUUAAAAUAUUUAAUAAACAAAUUUAAAUUCUUAAGAACCUUAUUAGUUUAUUUGACCAAAUUACUCUAGGGAUAACAGCGUAAUUUUUUUGGAGAGCUCAUAUCGAUAAAAAA
This 385-nucleotide ribosomal RNA is filed under the name Pilbaranella sp. C GP-2018. RNAcentral's name for it is "partial 16S ribosomal RNA". The record is from RNAcentral. Lineage: Eukaryota; Metazoa; Arthropoda; Malacostraca; Bathynellacea; Bathynellidae.